GUGGGGAAUAUUGGGCAAUGGGGGAAACCCUGACCCAGCGACGCCGCGUGAGGGAAGACGGCCUUCGGGUUGUAAACCUCUUUGUACGGGAAGAAGGAAGUGACGGUACUGUACGAAUAAGUCCCGGCUAACUACGUGCCAGCAGCCGCGGUAAUACGUAGGGGACGAGCGUUGUCCGGAAUUACUGGGCGUAAAGGGCGCGCAGGCUGUGCGGCAAGUCAGCUGUGAAAUGUCUGGGCUUAACCCGGGCAUGCGGUUGAGACGUCAGUGCUGGAGUGCUGUAGAGGCAAGUGGAAUUCCCAGUGUAGCGGUGAAAUGCGUAGAUAUUGGGAAGAACGCCGGUGGCGAAGGCGACUUGCUGGGCAGCAACUGACGCUGAGGCGCGAAAGCCAGGGGAGCAAACGGGAUUAGAUACCCCUGUAGUCC
This 426-nucleotide ribosomal RNA is filed under the name uncultured bacterium. RNAcentral describes it as "partial 16S ribosomal RNA". It matches the Rfam family "Bacterial small subunit ribosomal RNA", at positions 354 to 796 of the family's 1533-position model. The record is from RNAcentral.